CAACCUCCCAAGUCUCCCCCCAAAGGGAGGCCCCACCUCUCCUCCCUCCUUCUCUCUCUCUCUAAAUACGCCGUUUUCUCUCUCUUCUGCUCCUCCUGCUGCGGCGGCGGCGGCGGCGAUGGCGAUCUCGUCGAGAAACGACCGGCCGAGCGGCCCGGUCCUCCGAUCGCUCUCCUACGGCCGGUUCGACUCGCUCACCGCUAGAGCCUCGACGGCCAUCGAGUCGUCGGCGUCGUCGCUCUCGGCGAUGGCCGCCGAUUUCGCGAUGAGCUCCGGCCUCUACUCCCGAUCCUCCACCUUCUUCGGCCAGCGGCCGUCCUCCCCCACGCGCGUCAACCUGUCGUCCUCGCCGCCGCAGCAGCUCCUCCUCCUCCUCCUCCUCCUCCUCCGUCCGCUUCUCCAUCGACCGUCCGGCGUCGCCCAAGCAAUCGUUCGCCGCCUCGCCCCGCCAGCCGGUGAUCCACCGCCGGGGGAACUCGAACAAGCAGAGUUGCAUGUGCUCGCCGACGACGCACCCCGGCUCGUUCCGCUGCAGCCUGCACAAGCACUCGGGGAGCGGCGGCGGCGGCGGCGGCGGAGGGAACGGUCACUCGGACUCGUUCGUGCCAAACCGGUUGAUCAUGCUGAGAUCGGCGAUGAGGAACAGGAUCGUCAGCAUCGGAGGCGUGGAGGGAGACCUGAUGAUUAGAGCUCUGACGGCUCUGAUUCGUCCAUCCUCGCACCAGCAGAAGCGGCGAGCCGCAUUCCAGUCGAGGCCGAGCCGGCUCUCGGCGAUGUCCAAGGCAGGGGAUCUCUGAUCAGGGCGAGUUUCGCGUGCCUGCGCUGGUGAUUUUUUUGCGUGUGAAGCUCCGGGACCGAGUCAACUCAGGCGAGCCUUGGCUACGACCGGGAGCUGCUGAAUCGGCUUCUCGACGGAUCGAUCAGCUUCGUUCGACUUUGAAGAAAGCGGCGGAGGUCGCCCGCCGCGAGAGCUGACUCUUGCUUGUACAUAAUAAUUUUCAGGCCAUUUUGACGGCCGUCGAGGAACAAAAGUUUUGGACGUUUGCCUUUGCCUGUGAAUUCAGAACUCUCACGAAUUCCAAAGCGCGGUCCGCAACUUCGACUCUAACCUGAAUCCGAAUCAAUUUCUAAUCUAAUCGACCAACCAACCUGCUAAAAAAGCUUUAGGUCUGGAACCGUUUUAGGUGUGGAACCGUUUUGGCCAAGAGCCGUGACGUCUGGUCCAUGUUCCCGUCGUCUUGCUUCCAACGGCGAUGUCGUCGUCCGUCACCUGCCCCGUUGAUUUCUCCGCCACGUUCCAUCGUCGUCGUCCUGUUCAAUUAAGGUACAUCGGUGUAUUCUUGCCGAGUAAUUUCGUUGCCUUUUCUUCUCAAUGUUGUUGUUAUUAUAAUAAUAACUAUUAUUAUUAUUAUUAUUAUUAUUAUUAUUAUUAUUAUUAUUAUUAUUAUUAUUAUAAUGUAUUUUUUGCUGGUGCAGGUAUGAUGAUAUUUUGUAGGACUUCGCCACCUAGAUUUUCGGCCCGAAUAUAAUUAAUAAGAUUACGAUUAAAAAAGGAAAAUAUCAGGAGCCGAAACGGAGAAAAUUGGGGAGAGGGUUUCCACCCACUUGGCAAUAGUGGAAACGGAAUAAAUCGAAUCCGAUCCGUUGACAUUCGAAGGCCCAAAAAACGAAGCCAGCUGGCGUCACACUGCUUUGAUUAAUUCCAAAUGGAGGAGUAAUAUUGGAACGCUCCACACGUUUUGAGGGUCCGUUGUAGGUAUUAAUUAUAUCGAGAGAGGAAAAGGAAGAAAAAUUCAGGCUUUGGACCGUCCCUCGCGUGGCGGAGGAAUGAUUCUUCUUGACCCCUUCUAAGGUUGUGCGGUCCUGGAGAGACCCCCAAUUCGGUAAAGAUCCGGAUAUUUGAUAUUAUAAUUUGAUCUAUGAAGUUUGCAAGCUAUGUCAAUUACCAUGGAAUGUCCGAGUUUUGACUAGCAAGCAAUUGAAAUUAGCAAUUUGAAAGUAACUGUAGGAUUUUGAGAUCAUGUUAUUCUUUUGUUCGGUUCAAUGCUAUAUAAGAUAUGAUUUGACUGAGCAAUAGACAUUCGAAAGCGUGAAGAGGCAAAAAGUGAGGAAGGCACGACGCGCGGAGUUGGGGCAAGAAGGUCAGUGAUUGGUGCAGGGGAAUGCGGGGCACGAUUGCGAUCUUGGUCAAAAAGGCGGCUCCAAUCUCCAUGGUCCGGAGCCCCCGGGGGUAGCCGUUGAUCUUCAACCGGGCCUGUCAUGCUGACGAAUCUCAUGACCCAACUGAUUGCCAGACGUCGAGUUGAACAUGUAGAAAUAGAAAUCCGAUCGACAGCUUUGAAUCGUACGAGCCCGAUAAAUGACCCGAGAAAAUAUCAAGUGCGUCUCACGCUCCAGCCUAGCAAACAAGAAGGCGGUGAGAGUGCGACACGUGUCCUCGUGAGACCCAUAUUUUGGAAAAGAAAAAGAGGCGCAAAUUCGAAAAAUUUCAGUCGUGGUUUUCUUUCUUCAUGUCUCUCUUUCUCUUUCUCUCUGCUCGCGCUCUCUGUCCGACGAACUCCCCUCUCUCUCCCCUCCCUCUUUCCGACCGGCGAACCACCGCCAACAGAUGAUGAACCACCGCACUGGACCGAUGAGAGGACCGCGAGACCUAGCUCCCUCCCUUUGCCCUCCCUCUUUCUGACCGGCGAACCACCGCACGGGACCGGCGAGAGGAUCGCGACCUUCCUCUCUCUUUGCCCUUCCUCUUUCCGACCGGCGAACCACCAGCAUGGGACCGGCGAGAGGACCGCGAGCAAUCGACGAACCAUUGCACGAGACUGGCGAGAGAACCGCAACCUCCCUCUCUCUCUACCCUCACUUUUUCCGACCUGCGAACCACCGCGAGCAAAUCAAAUGUUUUUGUAGAGAUCUCCCAUUGUCGCCUUCAUCUUCUUUUCCCCUUUUUUUUUUUGUUUUGUUGUUUGUUUUCCCUAGUGCUCUGAUGGUGGAUCUGGAGUUGCAUAUGGAGGACGACAUGAUGUCUCACAUCAACCUUGACGGCUUCUUCAGUGACCUCCCUGAGACCGACGACAUCAUCAGGCGACGUCAUCAGUGCUUGCUCCUCGACGAACGUGUCGUCGUCGUCUCCAGACUUGGGGCUCUUAUGUUUCGACGAGAUAGAGAACAUCUUGAUGAAGACAACGAGGACGGCGGAGUUGUCGGUGGCGGGAUUAGGGCUGGUUGUUUUGUUCCCUAAAACUUAUGGAGUAAGACAUGGGUUUCUCAAUAAGAUAAAUUCUUUUGAUUACAUGAUGUGAUGGACUCCUCUGAAAAACAUUGGCGCACGUGUAAACGAGGUGCUCUACCUAACUGAGCUAUAGCCCUUGUGUUUAUGAUACAUAUUUUAUCAUAUUAUGUGCCACAUGGAUAGUUCAAUGUGCUCAUCAGCACCUGACCCUGGGAUGUGGAUCAUCCAAGGCACAUUAGCAUGGGUAUUUCUGCUUGUCGUGUCCUUUAUAUGGAAAUCAAAGAACAGGGGGCCGUUCCCUUGACGCGUACUGAUGAGAAUUUGACUCCACGUGAAAUUGAGCAAAAAGCCGCCGAAUUGGCCUAUUUCUUGUGCGUACCGAUUGAAGUAUUUUGAAAUGAGCUUGAACUGAAGAAGAAAUUCUUUCCCAGCGGCAGGGAAAAAAUUCAAGAAUUCUCUGUUCUUUCUUCAGCAUAGCAUAGCUUAAUAAAAAAUUUUCAGAACGUUCAUUCGAGCUAAAGUAUACAUAUAUGGAACAUCCAUAAAACGAAAUUUUUUUUGUAUGCAUAAAAAAGAAUUUAUGCGUAUGGAAAUCCACUCAACUCAAUUUACUAACAAACAAGUAAAAGUAACAAAUCGAAAUAAAAUAAUAGAUUCAUCUCGUAUAUCAAAACAUUUCAGAAUAAAGGAUUUCUCUUUUUAUUUUCAAUAUGAAUUGAUAGGUUAGAUACAAAUAGAUCAUAUCUUGGAAAUUCUCUCUCCUUUCUUUUGUCAAUCGACUUUUUUUUUUUUUUUUAAUCUUUUCUUUUGUUUUUCUUAAUGAUCAAAGGCAAAAGAUUGCUUGGAUCUCUUAUAAGGAUAACUUUUCUGUCUUGUUUUGCCACUCAUUUUUGAUCAUUACAUUAGGUUUUGAAUUUAUGAUCGGUAGAUCACAAUAUUCUUAAUAAAUCUCUCUCCAUUUUUCCUGGACUAGAACUGUUGGUGGCGGGAUUAGGGCUGGUUCGAGCCAGGCGUUCUGCGAUAGGUUCUUGCAUUUUCCAGGUUCUUCUCCAAAUCCGCUCCGUGUGCGGGUAGCUGCUGAGAGAAGCAUUUGGAGAGCAAAAGGUCUGUUUUUUCUUCGUGCUGGUUAGCUGAAUGAGGUAGAGAAAUAUGUGCUUCGAGAUGGGUUUUUGCAUUAUAUCGUGUUUGGAGCUAAGUAACUUAUGAUGGGUCUGUUUGUGAUAAGGGGUAAGUGAGCUUAAUCACAGUGACAAGAGAAAAGUGUUUUGGGCGAUGGACAGGGGUGGUUGCGCCGUGCAUUGUUGCCGUGCCAUGUAUAGUUUAUGUUAGCUAAAGCGGCUGUGAGUAGUCCAACGAGUUGAUUCUAAUGCAAUUAGUUUUUAGUCUUCAAGAUGAGUGGUUCCAUGGCUUUGGUGUGAUGUCCUGCCAUGUCUGUGUAGCUGUAGGUUCAAAGGAGGUUUGGUAUUGUUUUCACUUUAUGCUGGAGUGAAUGACAUCCGGUGCUCUAGAAAUCUUCAUUUGGUCAAAGCAAAAGUUUGUAAUCAUGCCGAUUCAACCACGAGUUGCAGGCCUAACGACAUGUCUUUUUCCGCAUUAUUUUGUGCAACGAAGGUUGGGAUACUGGAGUUUUUUUGCAGGGUAUUGGCUGAGGGGUCAAAGCCCGUGUUGCCAAGCUCGAGUUUGAGAUUGGCAACUUCAAUAGGUUACUUGUUUCCCGCAUGCUUAAGCUCAAGAAACUAGCGCGCAUGACAACGCUUCUUAGCUGGGGAAGAGUUUUUAUUUUUCAGAAAUAGUUCUUUUUUAUUUCUAUUCCGGGGAACAAUUUAUGAGUAAAAGAACCCAUUUGGUAAUUACUUAAAAUUUCUACUCUUGGAAUAGAAAAAGAAUAAAAAUGCGUUUGGUAACGCAACAGUUUCUUUUUUUUUAUUAUAUUUAUUAGUUUUUUAUUCUUGUUCAUGCAUCGCCGCCCGGCAACCACUGCUCGUCGCCGCUGUCGAUUGCCGCUCGUUGCCGCUGCUACACGAUCGCCGGCAACUGACUGUCAUCAUCGACUGCCGCUGCACAGCCCGUCGGCCGUUGACGAUUGCCGGCCACCGACGACCACGACGGCGGUCGCGGUCAGGGGCGGCAGGCGGUGGUGGCGGCAGGUGACUGGCAGCGAGCAGCGACAGCGGCGGCUGCGGUGAGCAGCAGCCGGCAGUGGUGUCGCGACCUCUUUUUUCGGCACCCGCGAUCGGGUAUGAGCGCCUAAGGAGGCUAAUGGCUCGGCUGAAUUUAUUAAGCCCAGACUCUCCCAAGUCCACAAAUUCACGACUUUAAUAGUUUGAGUUUUUAACCUAUAAAUCAAUUUUUAAAAUGGAGUCGCUACUAAUCGAUUUGGAGUGGGUCGAUUAGAAAUCCAAGCGAAGUAUCGAGAGAAAUACUUGCUCCUGCGCAACCAGAGAAAUUAGGAUCGGGGACUUGAUUACACUAGUUAAUCACUAAUGCCCUUUCGGUACCUAAUCUUGUUUAAACCCUAAGGCUUUUUGGAUGUUUGAGAGAUUUUCCAUGCAUUUUUGGGAGGAAAAACAUUUUUUGAGUCAUUUUCUAAUUUUUUGGACACAAAAGGGAUUUUUUUGGAUUUUUUUGGAAAAAUACAAGUCUUUUUGGCUUUUUCUGAAUUUUUGGCUUUUUUUGGAAAAUAUGAAAUAUUUUUGAUUUUUUUUGAUUUUUUGAAAAAUAAAAUAUUUUUUAAUAUUUUUUUGAUAUUUUUGGAAAAUAAAUUAUUUUUUGAUUUUUCUCGGUUUUUUUUAAUAAAACAUUUUUUCUACAUUUUUUAAAAUAUUUUUUCGAUUUUCUGAAAAUUAAAACAUUUUUUAAUAUUUUUUGAAAAUAAAACACUUUUGAUAAAAUAUUUAUUUUUUUUAUUUAUUAUAAUAUUAUUUUAUAUUAAGAUAAUAAAAUAAAACCGACCCGGGUCGGAUCCGCGGGUUGGGUCCGACUUGGGUCAACCCUAAAACGCAGACGGGCCCGCUACGUGGGCCCGACUUUUUUUAUUUUAAAAACGACGCUGUGGCCGGGCGUUUAGAGACGCCCGGCCCGGCCCGACGACCCGACUCCACAACCCGCUCCCUGGCGAAACCCUACCCGACCCGGCUCCAGCACCCGACCCGACUCCCCCGCUCGCGGAUUGCGAACCCUACCCGAUUUUCCGGGUCCGGAUUUGCUUCGCGACCCGGAAAAUCGCAAACCCUAGGGUUUGCGAAUCCGCGGCGCCGGAGACGGAAACCAGGGCAUUUCGGCGGCGACGGUGACUAUGGUAGCGGCGGCGGCGACGAGAACGGGACAAUGGAGAGGGCUACCUGGUCAAGACCGGCCACCGUGCACGGCAGAGACGGCAACGACGUCGCACGGCGCUCGACGCCCUUUCGCCUUCCCCGAGCUCGAUCUCCCCCUCUCUCUCCCGAUCCACUCCUCCGGCCACGCCUCAGAUUUCCGGCCACGAGCCCUCGGACCCCCUGAAGUCUCUUAGUGGGUCGUCCGAGGUCUGCGACCUCAAUCCGCUUCUCUCUCUCUCUCGAGUUCUCGCAGAUCUGGGUUCGCUCACCGCCGGCCUCCCCUGAAGUCUCUCGGAGGGAGGUCGUUGAGCUCGCGACCCGACCGCUUCGCCCUUGCUCGCUCUUUGAGUUCCCCGAAGUCUCUCAGGGGAUCUCUCGGAGCUCGCAGGCCUCUCUCUCUCGCUCGCUCUUCAACCUCCUCCGAAGUCUCUCAGGAGGAAGUUUCCAAGCUCGCGAUCUUCUCCGGUGUCCCCUUCGAUGACGGAAAUGCUCCGUUAUUUAUAGGCGAGGAGGUCCGGUCGACAGAGAGGCUCGGCCGCCGGUCUUUGGCUUGCCGAAUGGACCCCCGUGGCCGAACCGGCAUCCCAUCCGCCACCUGUCCGCCAGCUGCACCCCCCCUUCUCACGUGCGUUGCCGUUCGUCCGCUCAUCCAGCAUCGCGCCCUCUGCGCGUGCGUUGCAGAGCGGACGAAGGAGGAAGAAGACCGAAAAGGGCUGGGCUGGAGGAGAAAGAAAGUGGGCCGUAGAGGCCCAUGCGGAGGGGGAAGAGAGGGAGAGAAUGGGCUGUUUUAUUUUUUGUUUUUUUUGUGUUUUAUUUGGUUUUUGUCUUAUUUAUCCGAAAUAAAAACUUAAUAAAAUUAACCUACUUAAAAUUGAGGUGUCAACAGCUGCCCCUCUUUGAAGGUGAGCUCGCAGAGGUUGCAUUCAAAGACAGACUAAUACCUCAAUUUUAUCCAUGCAUGCGUAGUAGAUUAUAUUUUACUUGGAACCUAUUAUUCUACGCAAAAAGGGCAAUGUAACAUUACAUAUACUAAGACAGAUAAGAAGAUACCUGUAGCUACUUACCGGGAGUGAGUGAGAUAGGGUGUGAACCCCGAGUUUGGCAAGUAUCAAGGCGUCAUCUUACCUGGUGAUAUGAGGAGGUUGCUUUUCCAGGGCUCGAACCAUUCUUCGGUCGCCUGUUAAAACAAUCAAUGGUUUGUCUAGGACCCGAACCUUUCUUCGGUCGCCUUGACGGGAGAUUACUCCUCCAGGACCUGAACCAUUCUUCGGUCGCCUAUUGGAGUAGUCAGUGGUUUGUCUCGGACCCGAACCAUUCUUCGGUCGCCAUGACGGGAGACUGCUCUUCCAGGACCCGAACCAUUCUUCGUUCGCCUGUUAAAACAAUCAAUGAUUUGUCUAGGACCCGAACCUUUCUUCGGUCGCCUUGACGGGAGAUGCAUCGACCUUUCUCAGAGCAUCUGUUUUGUUGGGGUGUCUGACUUCUGUCAAAGACACUGGUUGGAACCCGACCUUUCUCGGGAGGAUGCACCGACCUUUCUCAAGGCAUCGAUUUGUGGGCCUCUGACUUCUGUCGAAGACACCAGUUGGAACCCGACCUUUCUUGGGAGGAUGCGCCGACCUUUUUCAGGGCAUCGAUUUGUGGGGCGUCUGACUUCUGUCGAAGACACAGUUGAAACUCGACCUUUCUCGGGAGGAUGCGCCNNNNNNNNNNNNNNNNNNNNNNNNNNNNNNNNNNNNNNNNNNNNNNNNNNNNNNNNNNNNNNNNNNNNNNNNNNNNNNNNNNNNNNNNNNNNNNNNNNNNNNNNNNNNNNNNNNNNNNNNNNNNNNNNNNNNNNNNNNNNNNNNNNNNNNNNNNNNNNNNNNNNNNNNNNNNNNNNNNNNNNNNNNNNNNNNNNNNNNNNNNNNNNNNNNNNNNNNNNNNNNNNNNNNNNNNNNNNNNNNNNNNNNNNNNNNNNNNNNNNNNNNNNNNNNNNNNNNNNNNNNNNNNNNNNNNNNNNNNNNNNNNNNNNNNNNNNNNNNNNNNNNNNNNNNNNNNNNNNNNNNNNNNNNNNNNNNNNNNNNNNNNNNNNNNNNNNNNNNNNNNNNNNNNNNNNNNNNNNNNNNNNNNNNNNNNNNNNNNNNNNNNNNNNNNNNNNNNNNNNNNNNNNNNNNNNNNNNNNNNNNNNNNNNNNNNNNNNNNNNNNNNNNNNNNNNNNNNNNNNNNNNNNNNNNNNNNNNNNNNNNNNNNNNNNNNNNNNNNNNNNNNNNNNNNNNNNNNNNNNNNNNNNNNNNNNNNNNNNNNNNNNNNNNNNNNNNNNNNNNNNNNNNNNNNNNNNNNNNNNNNNNNNNNNNNNNNNNNNNNNNNNNNNNNNNNNNNNNNNNNNNNNNNNNNNNNNNNNNNNNNNNNNNNNNNNNNNNNNNNNNNNNNNNNNNNNNNNNNNNNNNNNNNNNNNNNNNNNNNNNNNNNNNNNNNNNNNNNNNNNNNNNNNNNNNNNNNNNNNNNNNNNNNNNNNNNNNNNNNNNNNNNNNNNNNNNNNNNNNNNNNNNNNNNNNNNNNNNNNNNNNNNNNNNNNNNNNNNNNNNNNNNNNNNNNNNNNNNNNNNNNNNNNNNNNNNNNNNNNNNNNNNNNNNNNNNNNNNNNNNNNNNNNNNNNNNNNNNNNNNNNNNNNNNNNNNNNNNNNNNNNNNNNNNNNNNNNNNNNNNNNNNNNNNNNNNNNNNNNNNNNNNNNNNNNNNNNNNNNNNNNNNNNNNNNNNNNNNNNNNNNNNNNNNNNNNNNNNNNNNNNNNNNNNNNNNNNNNNNNNNNNNNNNNNNNNNNNNNNNNNNNNNNNNNNNNNNNNNNNNNNNNNNNNNAAUAUCGAGGACGUGCCUCGCAUAUUCGUGAAGGUUUCUCACCUCCUGGUAAAGGGGAAUCUUGAGGACGUACUUAGAUAUUCAUGAAGGUCUCUCACCUCCUAGUAAUUGGGAAUAUUGAGGACGUGCCCCGCAUAUUCAUGAAGGUUUCUCACCUCCUGCUAACAUAAACUUGAAUGUAGCAUGAGGCUUACCUGGAUGACCAUAGGCACUUAAAAGGGGUGGAACACCUGGAUAGCCACAAGUGUACAAAGUACUGGAAUACUUGGAUGAACACAAGUAUUUAAUGAUAUGAUCUGGGACCGCUCAGUUGGUCCAAGUCUAAGAAAGCAUACUUGGGUAGGCGUAGGCACACAAAGUAGUGGAAUGCUUGAACAACUGCUAUUAUUUGGGGACAACUUGGGCAAGUUGAGUGUCAUGAAAAGGAAGUACCUAGACAACGGUGGGUACUUUGACGAUAUGGGGAUACCUAGACAGCAGUAGGUAUUCCAAGAGAUACUUGGUUAGUCACAAGUAUCAAUAUUCUGGGGACAACUCGGACAAGUCGAGUGUCAGGAAAAGGGAGUAUCCGGACGGUGGCCGGUACUCAAAGACAAUAGAGAUACCUAGACAGUAGUAGGUAUUCAACGAUAAAGGGAUACUUGGUCAAUCACAAGUAUCAAUACUCUUGGGACAACUCAAAUAGGUCGAGUGUCAAGAAAAGUGAGUAUCCAGACGGUGGUCGGUACUCAAAGACAAUGGGAUGCUAAGACAGCAGUAAGCAUCGAAACUCAAGGGACAACUCGAAUAGGUCGAGUGUCAAGAAGAGAGUACCUAGACAGUGGGAGGUACCUGAAAAUAAAGGGAUACCUGAACAGUCGCAAGUAUCAAUACUCUGAGGACAACUCGGACAGGUCGAGUGUCAAGAAGAGAGUACCUGGACAGUGAUAGGUACCUUAAGACAAAUGGGGAUAGAGAUAUGCUUACCUGGCAAUAUCUCCGCUCUCUGAGAGUAUGUGUGCUAUUUGCACAAUAUGCACACAUGAUUGUAUAUGCUAUAAAUUCAUGAGUUCAAAUGAGAUUCAUGCAUGAUAAUUUUGUCAGUUUUGCAUCUUUUGAUUUCCACUGGGGAAGAUUUUGAAAAACAACCUUUAUUUAGAAUGUAGAUGUCUUGAGCAUGCCAGAUGAGGGACUUUCAGUCUGAAAGGACUUUUUCGCUCACUCUCAUGGAAAAGGCUAUCCUGACCAUUGAUGCAGGAUUUAUAAGGACCACACUAUCUCACUGUCAUCAUGUUAGCAGGGGUCCGAAUAUUCUCGCAAACAGUACGACUUUACCAAUGUGAGAGGUCUUUGUUGAAACUGUGAUGAAGUCUUGGUCAGCGGCUCAUCAGAGGGGACCAUCAAGGUCGAAGCUGAUGGACGAAAAUGUCGCACGAUCAUCUCCGGGUUUACAAGUCAAGAACCUUGCGAAAAGAGAUAGAGUAAUCUUGCUCGUACUUCUUUGAGCGAUACUUAUGCACAUAUGAAAUCCUACGUUAAUUGAAGUGCCCCUAGUCUGAAGAGACUUUUACAAUGGGAUGCAACGUAGGCUUGAUUCAUGUGUAAAAAGGUAGAGCUGGUGAUUGCCUUGGCAUUUGUCACCAGUCUUUCUUCUCAUUGUCAAAUGGAGGUUCUAUGGACCACAACAACAACAUUUUCUUGGCUGCAUUUUUGACUGGGGGGAUUGGCCUUGCUUUUACCAGGCACACUGCUUUUUCAUGCCCCUAUUUUUAUUCCAGUUCUUCUUUUAUGGACAUUGACCUUGCUCUUGCCAAGUACACUGCUUUUUUAUGCCCCUGUUUUUUCAUUCUUUGUCGUUAGAGGAACUAGCCUAGGCAAGCUCAAUCACGACACUGUUGUUAGACUCUUGAGUCUUCGUCUUCAGCUAGUGCUCCGAGCUAUGCUGUUUAAAUGGCAGUAACUUCUGUUUUGCCUCCAUGUGAGGGUGAAUUUACAGACUUUUGAGUUGUACAAUAGAUACAAGUGUGUAGAGAAAGAAUUGCUCUUCGUCAUUCUAGGGCACUUAAAUUAACGCGAGUGUUCAUAUGCAAUAAAGACACUUGAAGAUUGAUGCAAGUGCAAGCAAUAAAAUUUCUAUCCCCUUUCUCACUUUGUGAUGCCGACUUGUUUUCGACUUGCCCCAGUGUGGGGUGGUUCUUUGACGGGGAUAUGAGAUAAGCUUCACCAGUGUAUGGGGCUUAAUGGGGUGAGCAAUGAAAUGCCUCUCACUGUUUUGGUUAUCGUACCAUUCGCGAGAGAACUCUUUACCCUGCAGCCAUGGAAUUUUCUGCACUCAUCUCACAAGUGUAUAGAUGGGGGGAACUGUGUGUAGGAUAUGGCUUGCCUUUCAUCAUUCUGACGUGCCUCACCCAGCAUGCUCAAUUAAUCUUGUAUUCUUCAUUUAGCUGUCUAUUCUAAUAAUUCUCAAUGGAAUCAGUGAUUUAGACAGACAAAAUCAUCAUGCAGAAUUCAUCUGGAAAUGACAUGCAACAUUUUGAAUAUGAUGGAGUUUAAACUUUUCAAAACAAGUGAAUGGUUUUGACUCAAAAAAGACCCUAUUGACAACUUUAGGGGCUAACGUAAUGGUCUUUCCAAAUAUGUUAGAUUUUGAACAUCAAAAGGGUUAUUUGCAAUGGAUGUCGAUGGUUGUCCCUAUUGAUUAGGGAUAUGACAUAUGAAUGAUCAGUCGGGGUUAGGAAUCUGAUCGGGCAUCUCUGCUUUUGCCCCUGCAGAAGAGAAGAUGUACAAGUAGAUCAAUUAGUCUGGCCAAAAUCAAAUGUGAGUUGAGGCCCGAAGGAUCUCUGUCAUUUGUUUUGGUAGUACUUGAGACGCCAUUUUGCUUAGGAGAGUUUGUCAUGCCUUUCAUUGAUUUGUUAUCCUUGUUUUUGACAAUCAAGUGAUCCUGCAACAAGAUAUGCUUCUCACUGAUUUGUUAUCCUUGCUUUUGGCAGUCAGGUGAUCCUGCAACAAACAAGAGGGAAUGUGUUAGUCAUGAACUCUUUCAAGAGUCGAAUAACUGGAAUCGAUACAACUUUACCCUUCACUGGUUUGCAGAUGAUUGGUUGAACCUGAAAUGAGAGGGGGACACGAAGUCCUAUGUCCCUUGCUUUGUUAAGUCAAUUAUUCUUUGAAUUGGCUCCUGGAUGACAUGUCUUUUUACACGAAGCCAAGUAAAUUUGAUGUAGGUCAUUUCCAUGUACUAGCUUGGCCAAUAUUGGUUUGCCUAACCAUCAAAUUUGGCUCUUGAAUCCUGGUGCUUCCUGCCAAUAGGGGGAAUAUGUCAAAAGUGAAUUCAAAGAGGGGGGAGUAUUGGAAACGAUACCAAAUUACUCUUCCCCAAAGUUUGUAUUUGCUGACUCCUGAUGAUGUUUGAAUGUCGAUGAUAGCCUUUUCGUCUUGGCAUAAUUUGACAUUUCUUUCGAUUGGCCUUCCUCACUUGUGACCAUGUAUGCAUGAUUGCUGGUCAUUGAUUCAUCUUCAAUGCCUUCCUUCUGUGGAAUUUCUCCUUCUAUAGCAUCAUUGGGCAAAAGUCAUGUACCUCAAGCUUCUAUGGAAUCUGAGAUGGAAAGUCUCAAGCUUUCUGAUGGCAAUUACGCGUCUGGGGUGAAGUUUCUAGAUUCCAACAUCAUUGUCCAGGAUGUGGGGCUAUAGAUCGCUUUGACUGUCUAGAUUUUCUUCCUGUUGACAGUAAUCACUUUAAAGGAAGAGAAGCAAAUCCUUCUUUGUGCUUCUUGGCUCGUUGAAGCUGGAAGUCCUGUCAAUGAACUCGGGACAUCCUGCCUUGAGCAUUUUGAAACGUGAUGAUCCUUUCUGUUUGCCCCUGCUUUCUUGGCAAGGUGUCAUUGAAUUCGGUGAGUUCACAUAAUGUGCUUGCUUCAAAUGCCUCCUGUCGCACUAAGUCAAAGGGGACGAGAAUGAUCUUCUGAGACAUGAAGUGAGUGAGUCAGAAAGACAAACAUGAUUAAAUUUAUCAUUUUUUGUUUUUUGAAAGAUUUUGGUGAUGAAGUGUUUUUUGUUUUCAAAAUAUGUAUUCGGGGGAGAAAAAGCAUGAGGAAGCCCAGCCCUCAGUAUUCUCCUUGGAUGGUAUAUUUUUUCAUGGUUGGAUAGCAUCACCGGGCUGGUUUGGAGUACCGCCUCAUGCUCUUAAAACAAAAUAUUAUAACUGCACAAUACAGUACUUGGCAUGGAAAAAUUACAACAGUAGCACACUAGACAAGAUAAGAAACAUGGAAUUAUAAAAACAAGUAAAACCCAUGAAAACUCCUGUGUAAAUGAGUGCUUUGAUAGUGCUGGUCUUGAAGCUAAGCGUCUUUGAAUUCCUCGCCUUCAGUAGACUCGAAGUAUUCGCAUGCGAUGACUACUUCGUUGAAGUUACGGAAGUGUAACCCAUGCAGCCAACAGCGCUGCUUGCAGGACAAAACUUCUAUGAACUGCUUCAUUAACUCCUCUUCAGCCAGUUGAGGGUGGGUUUGCAUCAUGAAAGCCCUCUACCUCCCUGCGUAUGAUCGAAAAUCUUCCAUUGGUUUUCUUGUGAAGUGAGCCAAGCUCUCACAAGGCAGUUCAGUUCCAAUCUGGCUUUGGUACUGAUGUAAGAAUGUGGAAGUCAGCUCAUUCCAAUCCUUUAGAAGAUAAAUGUUGGCUGUGAUAAACCAUUGCAAUGCAGACCCCGUAAGAGUUUCUUGGAAUGCCUGAGUUGUGAACGACAUCGGGCCAUAGUACCGACUCAUUUCCGCAUGGAGAUACUGCAAGUGGGCCACGGGACAAGCUGUGCCGUUAUACUUGCGGAGAUUGGGUAUCCACAUUUCUAUGGGGCUCAUGAUCCUAUGAGGGCAAGACGGGCUUGAUGUAUCUUGGUUAGGCCAAUGGUUUUCCCACUGCAUAUCUGUUGUAGUGGUGAAUUUUUCUAUUUCAGGGAAGCUGGACUCUAUCGAGAUUACCCCAUUGCUUUCUUCCGGGUCAAAAUUUCAAAUGAGGAUGAAGUAUUGAAGCUAUCCUCAUGGUUAGAGGAAGAGCUUAGUACUUCGUUAGGAUCGUGGCGGAUAAAGACGUAUGCUUCCUCUUCUGACGGGCCUUCAUCCCUGGAUGAGAGUAGGAAAUAGUUAUACGAUGAAUCGUCAGUUUCAUUGUCAAAAUAAUGCUGGAAGUCCUUGGGGUUGUAUUCUAGGGCCGGGAAGUCUUCAGAGUUGUACUCUUGGGGAUGGUAGCCUUCAAAGCUGUUUUCUUGGGGAACGCUCGAAGCUUUGGUGCGGUGGCUCGUCAGUAGAUGCUGAAUUGAUCUGCUUAGGCUUUCUUUUCUUGGCCCUUGGUCCAGACUUUUGAGUAAGGCCCUGCGUUUCGCCAGCUCGAUUCUGUCAAGGGGGAGUGAAAGACACUAGAGCUUCACUAUCUGAUUCACUUCCCAAGUUGAUAGGGGUUGGUAUUCUUUGGACCCUAGCUCUUGGAGUAAGCUUGGGGAGUUGUCUUGUCGUGCCCCGGUCUUGAACAGGCUCUGUGUCUUGGAUCUCGUACAAAGGCUCCUUGCCUUUCCUAGUGGGAAAUUUCCCAGUAACAAGGUGUUGUUCAGCUGCCCAUUUAUCAUGCAAGGCUUCAUUGACAUACUCUUCUCCUAUCUCAGCGACUAACGGUUCCUUGUGCUCCGCGAUCAUCGGCUCUUCGUAGGGCAGGGUGAUGUCAAGAUUAUACUCUUGGUGAAAAACAUGAAUUAGUUCCCUCCAGGUUUUAAGGGGACUAAUCUUCCUGACAAUGUACCAUCGCAAGGCAGGGCCAGUCAAGCUCGAUUGGUACAAUUGAAUCAUCCUUCGAACCAGGUAGGCCUGUAAGUAAGUCUCUGGACGGGGGGUAUCAGCAUACCUUUCGCAUUCGAGAGCUUUGAGUUUUUCGGGGAUCUCAAUGCUGGCGUAAUUAGACAGGUCCAUGGGAUUCUGCCCCUGCAGCUGACUUAACUUUUUCAUGAUCUUUUCAAACUGUCUAUAGUACUGGCUAUUUUCUGGCAAAUUUACAGGUGUCAUGACGGUGUUUGAGGCAACUAUAGAGUUGGGCUCAGCUUGAGUGGAUUUCAUUUGUCUUGAGAGUUGUUGAAGGACAAUGGACAUCUAUCCUACGCCGUCUUCAAUGUUAAUAAGGCGAUUUUGUACAUCAUUCUGAUCGGGUCCUAUUGCAUGAGGCCAUUCACGAGCAAUUGGUGGUCGGCGAUUCAUAAUUACCUGUUCGUGUUGAAAACAAUGAAUGAGCACGACAGUAAACAAAGAUUGACCCAUGGCAAUGGUCUAACUGCUUUCUUAUUUAUCAAAAGAGGAUUUUAUAGACCGCAGACUUCUGACAUCUAGAACUUGAAAUUGAAAAGACAGAAUGAAAUACUAGACAUUAAACAAAAGUCCCUAAACAAUGGGACAAAACCUUCACAAUAUUAACACUAAGGGGCACAUGAUUGCUAAUUUAUAUGCGACGGGGAGCCUUGCUCUUGUGAGGUCGCCUGCUUCCUUGGGCUGGCUCUGAGGUGUGCAUCCAGUCCAUUCCCAAAUCCCUCUCCAUGAGCUCUGCUUGCUCGUGUUGGCUGCUCUCGCUGAUCGAGUGAGGGACUAAUGGCUUCCAUUUUUUCGGGAUGCGAUGGUUAUGGAUGUAGGACAUGGAGGCGUGGUGGGCUUUUUCUUCUCCCUCAAGCCCUUCAGGUACCACAAUCCUUUUGCGAUGGCAUCUGUUCCAGGUUUCCUCAGCGAUAGAAAUUUCGAAUGCAUAGUCACGGCUUGUGUUGAAAAGAACUGGAGGGAUCAUCCUCUUGAAAGGCGGUGGGAUCUCCUGAAGGGCUCCAUAUUGUCGUGCUACCCGAUACGGGUAAUAGGGAAUGGCGCCGGUGAGGCCGAGCAAUGGAAUUGGGCGGGUGCGUAUGUAAGCAAAGCGGGCCCUCUUUUCAUGGAACCAACCAGCACACCAUUGGAAUGCCUUAGGAGCUGGGUCUCUUAGGAAGCUUACCCAAUUUAAACAACUUUGAUUGGAAAUGUAUGGUCCUAGAACCAUAAAUUUUUGUAACGGAUUUUUGAAAGCAUUUGUUUCAGACGAUCGUAUGAAGUCUCGAAAUUCGCUUAGGUGAGAAAAGAAUCAGACUUGUAAAAUUUCAAGAGAGGCUCGCAUGAUUUUCUCCGAGUUGUCUUUAAAACGAUUAAAUGACAAGAAUGUUUCAGUUAAAAUCAUGUUGACAUAAUUCCCCCCUCUUAAGAUCUGAUCAACUAUCCAUGCCAUCUUGGGAGUUAUGGCAUUUCUUUGAUGGGGGAAGAUGAUGAGCCCGAAAAAGGCUAGCAGGAAAAUCUCACUUUUCUGGGUCAUAGGUUGAUUUUGGAAACAUGCAUUCAUAAAUUCCAGUGGGCAGGUAUUAUGAUUGUUUUCAAGAAUUUGCCUCAUGACGUGGAUUUCAAUUCCUAAAAGUCGCGCCAACCCGCGCCACGGGAGGGCGCCUGUCGAUGGUUUGACGAGCUUUUUCUCAAGAGGCAUUCCAGUGAUGAUGCUGUAUUCUUCUAGGGUUGGGGUUAGCUCAAACCUACCGAAUAUAAAAGUAAUUGUCUUCGGGCACCAAAAAUGUGCCAUGGCUUGUAUGACUUCAGGACGAACAGUGAUUUGAAUCAACGAUAGGAGAUGACUGACUUUGGCCUUCACGCGCUCUUGGGCAAACUGAUCUAACUGACCCCACCAUCUGAAGAGCUCCGCCUUGGGAGUAGGAAUGAACUGGAUAUCGUCUUUCCCCAUCGCAUAUAAACUGGGACUUGAAAAGUUUAUCCUAAAUUGCCAUGGGCCAAAUAAAAAGAAUGAGUAAAAGUAAAGAGAUUACUUUUGCUUUUUAAAGAAAAAUGGCAAGCACAAAGACAUGCGCGUGGGACGUGCGGCUCGAUUUCUAACUCAGAAGGCUUGGUGAGAUUAAAAGGAUAUCCGCCCGUCGCAGUCUCGCGUUAGCAGCAUAUCCUCCUAACCUCGGCUAAGAAAUUCGGGGAAAAGAAAGGCAACCUCUACAUCGCAGUCUCGCGUUCGAGGUCGUAUCUUUCUUAACACCAUCCUAGAAAUCUUAUGGCGGCCCAGGUCCGGCGGCCGGGUUGUGUGUGCCAUGUGUAGUGUUUAAAAUAGUAAAGCAUGCACAACAGUUUAUAAUCACAAAAACAUUUUAUUUUAACAGAAUAAAAAAACUUUAAGCUAUUACCCUGCAUAAAAGAAAAAAAACCAAGUCAGCAAAGCAUUUAAACAAAGAUAAAAUGGCCUAAGUCCUCAAAAGUCCCCAGCGGAGUCGCCAAGCUGUCGCGACCUCUUUUUUCUGCACUCGCGAUCGGGUACGAGCGCCUAAGAAGGCUAAUGGCUCGGCUGAAUUUAUUAAGCCCGGACUCUCCCAAGUCCACAAAUUCACGACUUUAAUAGUUUGAGUUUUUAACCUAUAAAUCAAUUUUUAAAAUGGAGUCGCCACUAAUCGAUUUGGAGUGGGUCGAUUAGAAACCAAGCGAAGUAUCGGGAGAAAUACUGGCUCCUGUGCAACCAGAGAAAUUAGGAUCGGGGACUUGAUUACACUAGUUAAUCACUAAUGCCCUUUCGGUACCUAAUCUUGUUUAAACCCUAAGGCUUUUUGGAUGUUUGAGAGAUUUUCCAUGCAUUUUUGGGAGGAAAAACAUUUUUUGAGUCAUUUUCUAAUUUUUUGGACACAAAAGGGAUUUUUUGGGGUUUUUUUUGGAAAAAUACAAGUCUUUUUGGCUUUUUAUGAAUUUUUGGCUUUUUUUGGAAAAUAUGAAAUAUUUUUGAUUUUUUUUUUUGAAAAAUAAAAUAUUUUUUAAUAUUUUUUUGAUAUUUUUGGAAAAUAAAUUAUUUUUUGAUUUUUCUCGGUUUUUUUUAAUAAAACAUUUUUUCGACAUUUUUUUAAAUAUUUUUUCGAUUUUCUGAAAAUUAAAACAUUUUUUAAUAUUUUUUGAAAAUAAAACACUUUUGAUAAAAUAUUUAUUUUUUAUUUAUUAUAAUAUUAUUUUAUAUUAAGAUAAUAAAAUAAAACCGACCUGGGUCGGAUCCGCGGGUUGGGUCCGACCCGGGUCAACCCUAAAACGCAGACGGGCCUGCUACGCGGGCCCGACUUUUUUUAUUUUAAAAACGACGCCGUGGCCGGGCGUUUAGAGACGCCCGGCCCGGCCCGACGACCCGACUCCACAACCCGCUCCCUGGCGAAACCCUACCCGACCCGGCUCCAUUACCCGACCCGACUCCCUCGCCUGCGGAUUGCGAACCCUACCCGAUUUUCCGGGUCCGGAUUCGCUUCGCGACCCGGAAAAUCGCAAACCCUAGGGUUUGCGAAUCCGCGGCGCCGGAGACGGAAACCCGGGCAUUUCGGCGGCGACGGUGACUAUGGUAGCGGUGGCGGCGACGAGAACGGGACAAUGGAGAGGGCUACCUGGUCAAGACCGGCCACCGUGCACGGCAGAGACGACAACGACGUCGCACGGUGCUCGACGCCCUUUCGCCUUCCCCGAGCUCGAUCUCCCCCUCUCUCUCCCGAUCCACUCCUCCGGCCACGCCUUAGAUUUCCGGCCACGAGCCCUCGGACCCCCUGAAGUCUCUCAGUGGGUCGUCCGAGGUCUGCGACCUCAAUCCGCUUCUCUCUCUCUCUCGAGUUCUCGCAGAUCUGGGUUCGCUCACCGCCGGCCUCCCCCGAAGUCUCUCGGAGGGAGGUUGUUGAGCUCGCGAUCCGAUCGCUUCGCCCUUGCUCGCUCUUUGAGUUCCCCGAAGUCUCUUAGGGGAUCUCUCGGAGCUCGCAGGCCUCUCUCUCUCGCUCGCUCUUCAACCUCCUCCAAAGUCUGUCAGGAGGAAGUUUCCAAGCUCGCGAUCUUCUCCGGUGUCCCCUUCGAUGACGGAAAUGCUUCGUUAUUUAUAGGCGAGGAGGUUCGGUCGACGGAGAGGCUCGGCCGCCGGUCUUUGGCUUGCCGACUGGACCCCCGUGGCCGAACCGGCGUCCCAUCCGCCACCUGUCCGCUAGCUGCACCCCCCCUUCUCACGCGCGUCGCCGUUCGUCCGCUCAUCCGGCAUCGCGCCCUCUGCGCGUGCGUUGCAGAGCGGACGAAGGAGGAAGAAGACCGAAAAGGGCUGGGCCGGAGGAGAAAGAAAGUGGGCCGUAGAGGCCCAUGCGGAGGGGGAAGAGAGGGAGAGAAUGAGCUGUUUUAUUUUUUGUUUUUUUUUUGUUUUAUUUGGUUUUUGUUGUUUUUGUUAUUUGUUUUGCCUAUUAUCCGAAAAAAGGAAAUAUAAAAGAAAUUAAGGCCUAAAUAAUAACCUAAUCAAAAUGUAGGUGUCAACAAGUGGCGAGCGGUGGUAGUAGUGUCUCCAGGCGACAAGAGAGAAGAAUAAAAAAAAAAUUGACUUAUUUCUAGAAAUUGUUCCCAAGAACAAAAGUAAUUUUUGUUUUUUGUUUCUCGUUUCUGCUCCAAAUCUAUUCAUGGGCUAACUUUUGAUUUACCAGAAUAGAAAAACAACUUGGCGUUAUCAAAUAGGUUUAUGUUAUUUUUUUGUUCCGGGGAGCAAAAGAACAGAAAUUGGGAGAAACAGAAUCAUUACCAUGCGCAGCCCUAGGCGUCCCUUGCAAACAUAUAAACUGUCUUUCCUUGGAUCAUUGCUCUUUCAUUUUUCUAACACUGCUUUUUCUCUCGUAUAUGCAGAAGUGUGGACAUGGCACUACUCAAUUUUUGCCCUUCAUGUGACUUUGAGGCUCUUUACUGGUAGAAGAUGGCAUGUUUUAUUCAUUAAUGAUCUAGAAACAAUCUACAAUUUCAACUUUUAAGAUUGAUUGGAAAUGAUUUUUAAUAAUUUUCUUUUUGUAUUUGACUGUAGAUUCUGGUGAACCCAUUGUCUGUGGCCUACAAUUUGCAAAGGCAUGACUUGUUGCUUUGAUUGGGGUAUGUUGAAGUUAAAUACUCUGUGCAGAUUAAAAAUGCAUGAAGUUACAUCCUGAUAAACGGUGGAAAAGAAAGUUACAGCUCAAAUUCCUUGUCUCUAGUUAGACAAUAGAUAAUAAUUAGUUUCAUGGUUGUCUGGAUGAAGUAUAGGUUUCUUUUGACAUGAAGUUUUUCUUGGGGUCAAGAGACUUUGCUUCAGCAAGAUUGUAUAUAAUCAAUCUCUAACUGAUCUCAUAGGCAUGGUGACUAAAGUCAAUUAGAAUCGGCAAUCUUUUGGCAUGUUUUUCAUUCUAUUCUAUAUCGGGUUUUGUUAUUGCAUUCUCUAGCUCUUUCGGGAAUUUUGUUACAGAGCAUGUUUAGGUUGUCCAUGCUAUGACAUAGAUGACAAUAUGUUCUUUAAUCAUCUUUCUGGUUUCCACUUAAUAUUCUCUUUCCCUGAUUGAGUUCUCUAGGUAAUCUCUUUUAUCCUUACUUUUUUUUACUAGUUCAUCUUUUUUUAACUAGUUCAUCUAUAAUUAAAGGCACCGGGACUACCAAGUACUCAAAUGUGAGUAUGCAGAAGAGGUUUGAACUUUUUUGGCCCCCCUACUAGUGCAGACAAAACGAGAGGAUAAAACAAAUUGCUUUUGCUAGGAAGAGCUUUACCAAAUUUAAGAAUCACAAUAACUUUGGCAAUCGAGGUUGGAGAUGAGUAUUUUAGGUCGUUUCAAAAGUAUGCAAAUCUCUACUAAGUUUCAUUCUUGUUGCUCUAAAUAUCUGAACCCACAAUGUUGUCUUUCUAGCUUAUUAGGUACAAAAUAAAAAAAUGAAAACAAUAAUAAACUAUAUAGCAGCUUGGAGGAGCGACAUAGAUGAACUCACAUUCAAUUUAUGAGGAGGCCUUGAUGUGCAUUUGGUCGUAUGACUAUCGCUAGACAUUUAAUCUGGCCUUCCUUGAAGAUUGAAGGAUUACUUCUAUCUGGCCUUCCUUGAAGAUCAAAGGAUUAGUCCAUCAUAUUGCUUCGAACAAUGUUUAGAAAGACUUCUUGGCAGUCGUGUAUAAGAUAUUGUGACAAAUAUUAUUGUGCUUUACCUAAUUAUUUUUAAGCUUGUUUAUCGUUCUGUCAAGAUACAAUUUUUGCUCUUCAUUGGGUUUAGUUUAUUAAGCUAGAGCACUAUUGGACAUGGAUUUUAUUCCAUAUAUGCUUUGACAAGCACCGUUUAAAGCACUUAGUUGACUUUGCCCUAUAUGAUAUUUGUUCAAAAAAAGGCAAUUUGCAGCCAUAUAUCGGGAAUGAAUGGACAAGUGAUUCUUGAUCACCAGCAUAUGAAACACAACAGGAGCGACUUUUUUCUUUUCCUUGACAAAACAUCAACUCCCUCAACUGAUUCCAUAAUCUACACCAUAGUAAAACUUGGUAGAUUAAUGUUGCUUGAACAAUCUAAAUUAAACCGAUUGUUUGCUGAACUAGAAGGCAAUAAACAAAAUACAAUUUCAUUUGAACUGAACUACAAAGAAACUGUCUAUGGAAAUAAAAGUUUAAUCAUAUCAUUUCUAACGGGAGAGCUCUUCGGCGGUUGCCAACUACGGCAAUUUUUGAAUUGGCAGAUAGAGAGAGCGAGGGGAGAGAGAGAGGGGCAGUUCGUCGGAUAGAGAGAGCGAGGGGAGAGAGAGAGGCGUGAAGAAAGAAAACCACGACCAAAAUUUUUCGAAUUGGCACCUCUUUUUCUUUUCAGAAUGUGGGUCCCAUGAGAACACGUGUUGCGCUCUCACCGUCGUCUUGUUUGUCAGGUUGGAGCAUGAGACGUAUCUAAUAUUUUCUCGGGAUGACCCUCGUGACAGGCACGGGCUGUAUUGAUUCUAGAUAUUAAUUUCUUGAGGUUGGGAUAAGGUACGGAUGCAAACUGGGAUAGGAAUUUGAAAACCUGAUCGAAUUGGACUGAACGGAACCGUACCUUCUCUCGCUUUUUUUCAUUUCGUUUUGGGCAUGGUUGGCGGAUCGAGGUAUGAACGGUAAAUUUGAAUCUCAAGUUCAAAAAUCGUGACUCGAGAGCCGAAUCGCAUUUAAUACAUUCUAGCCAUAUAUCCGAGCUUAGAAUUGCAAAAUUAGGAGCUCUUGGUGAGCUCUGUUUUCGAGAGUAAAAUAUAUUGGAUUUCAAGUACAUCUCAUGAGCAUGACAUGAGAUAUUGCAGCAUGUUAUUUGUCUUAAAAGAUUCCAAAUUUAAAUGUACAAAGAGAAGUUUAUGUGCCGAUUGAGGUAUGAUUGUGUUUUGCUUUUUUUAUUAUUGUGAAAAUGUCGUUAACCUGGUAUACAACAUGAUUUAGGAUAAGAACAACACCCUUUGAUCGAUAGAAUGUAAUGACCUAUAAAUUGAUAAAAUCACUAGAUGCGUGGCGGAUCAAUAGAUUCAAUGAUAAACUUGUUUAAGAAGAAAAACAUCACGAGUAAUAAAGUAUGAAAUGAGAAACGAUGGACAUUGAUGAUUAUGGGUUCAGUAGUUUUUCAUUUCAAGCAUACCACCAAAAUGGAUUUCAAACCCAUUUAUUACCGAAAAGUUGUUGAAACUUGCACCUCAAAUUUGAGGUGUCUAGCCAUAAUGAGCUAUAAGAUAAAAAGCCUAAAAUACUUUUGCUAAAUUUUUUAUUAAAUUAUAUAUAUUAUCUAGCUACUAGUGGCCAUUUUGGCCAACCUUCAAUGGUUGGAUUUGGCCACUAGAUAGCCUUGCCUAAGGUCACGUGACUCAGGUCGUUGUAAACCUAGUCGAUGCUUGAGGUCGCAUGACCUCAGGCGUUAGUUGCCAAGUGGUCAGGUGACCCCUUAAGUAGCGGUCGUUGGCGUAAGCGACCCCUUGGCCGGCAGUUGUUAGCCUUCAUUCGUUUCUCUAGAGAAGAUGAAUAGUACCCGUGAACAGUAUGGGCUUGCAUGCCAAAGAUGUAAUUUCCUAAAGGACUUCCAGAGUUAUUUUGGGCCAAAAAGCCCUUAGAGCCAUUUUGAGAUACAAUUGCAUUUUGCCAAAGUCCUUCCAAAAAUUGAGCUAAACAAGUUUGCAUUUGGCCAAACCCCCCUUGGAGCCCAAAAGCCUAUUUCAAAUGCUGAACUAAACAGUGUCUAAAUGGGCAAUGCUAUAAACCCAUUUCUAACCCAUAUGAUAAAUAGGGCCAUUGACUCACUUAAAAUACACCAUAUAUCGAUUUAUUCAACUUAAACUUUUGAAAUAGUUGGUGGCGGUCCCAUAAAAUUUCAUAUGGUAUUAGAGCCCAAUUUCGCAACAAAUCUAGACGCAAUAUUUACAUGGGAGGUACAGGUUGUAGCCGCUCUGACUUAUGACCUGAUAUAUGAGGGGUAAUCGUUAGAGUUUAUGGGAUUAGUGGUUAGUUUAUAAGUUUGAGGAAAAUUCUUAUUGUGUGAAUUAGCUUUUAGGGUAAGAGAAGACUAAGAUGGAAAUUGAUGCGGUGCAUCCAAGAAAAUUAGGGAAAUUUUUAAAAUACCUUUGUAGAGGGAUGGCAUUUUCAAAUUACUCAUAUACAUAUAUUUGUUCUCAAUUUGUCACUUGAAUGGAAUUGAAAUAUUAUGAAGUGCCCAAAUAUUGAUUGGGUGCUUCAAAGGUGCAAGUGAAUUUCACACGCUCCACACACGCGACAUUUUGCGCUUAAAUAAGUCGGAAUCUGUUUCAUAAUUUAUGGACGAUCAGAAAGUCAUUUAUAUUUAAUUCAAAACCAAAACUGGAAUCUAUUUUCAUGAUUUAUGGAUGACCUGAGUGAACUUUCGCCACCACCUUCAUGUCCCGUCCAUAACCAAAACUUGAGUUGCCUCACUAACUUGACGGGCCGGUCCUGAAGUCAUCAUUUAUUUAAUGCAACAAUUAAAUGAGAAAAAAAUGUUAAAAUUGAAUCCCAGGUGGGGUGGUGUAUGUGUAAAAUAUGGGUUGCUGAUUUGCUUUGUAUAUAAACGGGUCAAACAGGAUCAAUGAGUGAAUUUGGUCAUAUCAUUUUCGACUCGACUUAACUUACCUUUUGAGAUGCCUAGCUUCGAGUCAAAGAGACAAUAUUCUUAUCAAGUGAAAUACAUUCAAAAUGUUUAUCAUAUAGACUUCAUGAAUAAUAUGCACUUCAACAAUUUCCAUAAGUCUAAUUGGACCAACUUAUACUUCUUACUCUUUUCUUAAUCAAAAAACUCGCGGCUCAUGCGCUCUAACAUUUUAUAAAUCCAACAAACACAUAACUUUGACCAAAUACAAAUAAUAUUUUUUUUUUCCAAAUUCAAAUGCUAAAUACAAACGGAAAAAAAUGACUUUUUUUUACUUAUUCCGUAUCUUGAACACAUCGAAAACAAGUUAAUACCCGGAAAAAUACUAAACUGAUACACAUGUGAUAAAUUUAUCAUAAAUUAAUUUUUUGGCUACCAAAAAUCCCAAAUGGGUACAUCUUUCUCAAACUAGUAUACUUAUAACAAAUUUACUUUAUUCAUUAAAUUUCACCUUCAAAUUAUUAAUUUUGAUAACAUGUGUCACUUAACUAAUGUACCGGUUUAAGAUUUUACUCUUCGUAUGUUACAGUUGUUUAAUUUUUGUGAUUUCUUGUGAUAUUAAUCUAAUUUAAUAAAUGUAUCAUUUUGAGGUUUUUGGAAGUUGAACAAAUUAAUUUAGAGUAAAUUUGUUACAAGUGCAUAAGUUUAAAGUUUUUUGUGAUCAUUUAGGGUACAUUUACCAUAUACAUAUUAGUUUGAGAUUUUUUUUUGAUUAAAACAUUAAUUUGAGAUAAAUUUAUUAUAGGUAUAUUAAUUUGAAAUUAUUCAGGAAAACUAUUAUACUUUCGCAAGACACGUUAAUAUUUCCAGACCUCAUACUUAUCCGCAUGUUUUUUUUUUCAUUUAUCUAUAAAAACCGUGCGUGGAAAAAUCAUUUCCUGGUUCCCUUCACCUAGUCAUGACAAAAAAAGAAGAGGGAAGAAUCUUCAUUCGCCUCUCUCUCUCUCUCUCUCUCUCUCUCUAGCUUUCUUACUUCCAUUGGUCUACGUCAACCGUCGAUCCACACAUCCUAUAAAUGGCCAUUCGUCUUGUUCGUCCCCACUUUAUCCCCUCUCUCUCCCCGACGAUUUUCUCCAUCUCAAUCGCCAUCGCCAUCGCCAUCGCCAUCGCCAUCUGCUCGCCUCGCGAUCCUUCAGGCACCGACCUCCAUCCUCCUCCGCCGCCGCCGCCGCCGCCGCCGCCGCCGCCGCCUCCGGCUCCUCGCUUCUGCGGCUCCUCUCCAGCGUCGCCCUGGGCUCCGGCCUCGGGAUCGCGUACUGGCACUGCGCUCCCGAGCGCGACGGCGGCGGCGACGGCGAUGGCUUGAAGCCGUUCGUGGCCUUCGCCGACUCGGCGGCGGCGGCGGCGGCGGCGCCCCCCGCGGCUGAAUCCGCGGUCGGCGAUUGCGGGUCGCCCCGCGCGCUGUUCCGGAAAUUGUCUCUGCCUGAUUACAGCCCCAAGUAUCUUUUUGGAGGUACGCGUUUCGUUAACCGUUGGGCGUCCGGUAGCUUAUCCUCGCGGUUUGAGUGGAACUGGUAACGUAUUGAGCGUAACGGUUGAAUUCAGUCCCCGGUUAGCUGAAUUGAACCGAUUGAUUCAGCUAAGGCUAGUUAUGUUUUUAGCUUCAUCGAUCUUCAGGCGCAAGAUUAUUUCCGUCAUUCAUCUGAUUACGCGCCAGGCUUGUAUAUCUAAUUCCCUUCAUCAACCCGGUUUAAUAAUUAGGAGGAAUUGUAGAACAUGUUAGCUCCUUCCUCGACCUUUGAGCUUGGAAAUUUGAUCCGUAACUUUAAAUUUUGCACCUGCAAUCUUCAUGUCCCUAAUGCAGUUCAUGUAUUGAUCGUGCGGCUUCUUGUUUAAAUCUGUGGUACAGAUGCGUAUAGGAGGAAGGUCUUCUUCAACUAUGAGAAGCGAAUUCGGCUGCGAAGUCCUCCUGAGAAGGUGAUGCUUCUCUGUUGAUUAUGUACAUUUUCAUUGGUCGUGCUAUAAUCUUUCUAAAUCCAACUUUUUUUUUUUAUUUUAAAGCUUUGAGUGCAUAAUUACUCUAUGGCACUUUUUUUGUAACUGCUAAGAGAAGAGAACGCUGGUUAUGGACACAGUUAUGUGUUUCUUUUGAGCUGAAUUUAAUGGGCAUGCUCUGCUUAUUUAUUUAUUUAUUUAUUUAUUUGUUUAUUUAUAGCUCUUUUGGGCAACUAUAGUUAUUUGGUUUUCAUGAGAUAUUUUCUUGGAUCAUCUAGAUAGGCAUGGUAGGUUUUAUGAAAGCCUAGUCUUGACUAAGAUAUGUACUACGAAGUGGACAUUACCAAAGUCAUUUAUGCUGUUUGGCGUUCAUGAAAGUGUUUUUCCAGCUGUGUAAUAUCUUCUGAUAAGAUCUCCAUUACUAGAAACUGAAUUUAUUGUUGAUGAUUAUUUGCUGCUGAUCCUUUUUUUUUUUUUUUUUUGGUUUUUAUUUUUAUGAUAACGUGGAAGUAACUUAUGUAGGAAACCAUGACCCAUCAAACAUAUGCAUCACGUAAGAUGUGAAGCUUAGAUGGUCAGUCACUGAUGGCCCGACGAUUGGAUUGUUCGUGGUGUAGGGAAUCGAACAUCUGUCGUGUACUUAAUCUACACACAAAAGUCAGUUCCUCUUGGGUUAGUCCAGACUGUAAUCACUGUGAACUAUAGGAUUGUGUUUAUUUAGUCACUUUGGGAUGAGUGCUUCUUGAAAUUUUGAGAACCUAGUUGAUUAGUUGAGGGCAUGUGUUUAUAACAUUUGGCUGAUGUUAGCUAUCUAGAUAAAUGUUCUUAUGUCAUGUAGGCCUUAUUUUGACAAUCUGCUUGUGCUUGUUGUGCUUCUUUACACAUUCUGUCACGGGCUUUUAUUUCACUUGUAGGCAUUUAAGAUCUGUCAGUAUUCUAAUGAUUGUUAAGACACUAAGUCGCAAAUAAAAGAAGAAACUGUCGGAUUCUAUUGAAGAUAAAGGCUACAGAACCAUCUAGCUGAACAUACAUGGUAUGAGGCGUAGCCUUAUGGCUAUUUAAAUUUUUAAUGCAUGAAAAACUAAUGACUGCAUCAGGAGAGCCAGGAUUUACCUUAGCUGAGAAAUUUGUUUUAAUGCGUAGAAAAGUUAUGCUAUUCGCGGGUUGAUUAGAUUGAAAUGGGAAAACAAUUGCUGCUUGCACAUGAUUUUACCAUCUUCCUUAUUUUCGUCUCAUACUGCAGUAUUAUGGCUUGACUCAUAGCAGUUAUGUCAUCUUGGUUUCCUUUUAUUGCUUUUCGGUGAUAUGAAAUGAAAUCAAUUUUAGCAUCCUAAUGCUUGAUCCAAGUUUAUCAAAUGGGUCUUAUUAACAACUGUCCUCCGGGGACUUGUUAGACAUAGUAGAAUGGGCAGAACAUAAGGACAGACAGUGCAUUGGAAACUGUGAAGUUUCCUUAAUUGGUUGCUGGGGGCACUUUUAUCAAAAUCCUCGUCAAAUUGCUAAAUUUGUAGCUUUUCGCUACCAUUUAUGGCCUUGAUCUUAUAGUUUGGAGGAUAGGGCUGAUAAAUUCUUUAGGUUUGGGGUCUUGAAAGCUGUCACUAGUCUAUGCAUAUAAUACCUAUAUACAGUUUCAGAGCUUAUGCUUAAAUAUCAUUGUCAAGGGAUGUUGAUUUGACAAUUAACAUGUGCUGACCUUUCUUAUGUAGGUUUUUGAAUAUUUUGCGUCUUUCCGAACCCCAGAAGGAGAAAUACUCAUGAAACCAGCAGAUUUGAUGCGUGCAAUUGUUCCUGUUUUCCCUCCUUCUGAAUCCCACCUGGUUCGAGAUGGGUAUUUGAUAGGAGAGAGGAAUCCUGGGGAGCUACGAUGUGCUCCAUCGAACUUCUUUAUGCUUUUUGAUAUGAACAAUGAUGGACUCAUAUCGUUCAAAGAGUGAGUUGCCCCACUUAAGUUGACGUUUUCCAUUAUAUCUUAUUUGCUUUCAGGAAUAUAAUAUUGUUCCAUGUAUUUUUACCAGAUAUAUAUUUUUUGUAACACUACUCAGUAUCCCAGAAUCGAGCUUCUCAGUCGCAUUCAAAAUGUUUGACACCGACAAUAGUGGGUUUGUAUACGGGAUCCUUUUCUUUCCUGUGCCUAUUCUCAAAAGUCAGUUGCUUGUCAAGAUUAAGUUUUCACUGCUUCUACUUUCCGGAUGCAGACUCAGAAAUAUGUUGGAUUAUUCAGUCAAGUCGUUUCUCAACUCUCUGGACAUAUUUGUUCAUAUUCAUAAUUUCAUAAUUUAAUGCUUAGAUACUGCUGUAGGUUAUUCCCUAAUCUGCAGCUACGAUAUUUAAACUCUGGAAAUUUGUGGUGCGACUGCUUUCAUGUGUUGCUUUAAAUUGUUAAUAAACUCCCUUAUUUUCCAUUGCCUAUCUUUCUAUAAGUUUCUUGUUGUUGGUUCUAUCAACUGCUGGUAACUUUAUCAUUCCAUAGGGAGAUAGACAAGCGAGAAUUUAAGAAAGUGAUGUCUCUCAUGCGGGCUCACAACAGACAAGGGGCACACCACAGGGAUGGGCGUCGAACUGGAUUAAAAGUUAGCGGUUCUGUGGAAGAUGGUGGCCUGGUUGAGUACUUCUUUGGCAAAGAUGGGAAGGCACGUCUUCAGCAUGAUAAAUUUGUCCAGUUCAUGAGAGAUUUACAAGUUGAGGUAACUUAGCACUCCCAAUAUUCUCAACAUGUUGCAGGUCACCUCUCUGUGGACACUCAGAUUCUGAUACUUGAAUUGUUAUCAAGCUUUCUUCUUCACUAAAUUAAUCUUGAAUUGAGGAACUUUUGUUAUUUUUGAUAUAUGCUUUGGUUCUCUUGUCCCUUAUAAUUAGCUCAUCUCAUGUAAUGCCUUACAUUUUUACCGCCAGAAGUCAAGGUUGUAAAGUGGCCUAGAUAGAAUGUUUCUGCUUGUUGAUCUUUGUUCUUUUUCUAAUUGCAAGUUUAAUACCAUAAUCUUAAUAAUAGCAUGUAGAGCACAUCUUUUGAUACAUAAGCCUAACAAGACCAUUCAAUUGUUUAUCUCUGCAUUCACUAUCCUUGGUUAGAUUUUUUUUUUUUUUUUUUUGGUAAAAACCUUGGUUAAAUUUUUGUAUCACAUUAUUGGUUUUUUGUAGGGAGGUGACCUUGAUCCUCUCUCUCUCUCUCUCUCUCUACACUUUAGGUUAAAUUGAACCUACUUAUAUCAGAAGUAAACUAGCUGAUUUUCUUUUGCCUAUUUUCACUUUGGUUUACAUUAUCUAAUAUGAGCAAUCUCUCUCCAUCUCACAGAUGCUUAAUUUGGAGUUCUCUCAUUAUGACUACAAACAAAAUGGAACUAUAUCUGCUAAAGAUUUCGCAUUGUCCAUGGUUGCUUCUGCUGACAUGAACCAUUUGCACCGUUUGCUGGACCGAGUUGAUCAAUUAGACAAAGAACCACAUCUUACAAAUGUGCGUAUUUCACUAGAGGAGUUUAAGAACUUUGCAGAGCUACGCAAAAAAUUGCAGCCAUUUUCCUUGGCCCUUUUCAGUUACGGAAGAGUAAAUGGUUUACUCACUAGAAAAGACUUUCAGCGAGCUGCAUCUCGGGUAAGACAUCUGUCUCUUCUCCAUACAUUAACAAACAAUUGUUCUGCCUAUGUUUUUAUUAUGGUAUGACUGGAUAUGAUAACAAUAGAUAGAUGUUUGCAUCUUAAAAGCCUGUUAAGCUAUAUUUCUAUUUUGCAUGGAAGUUUCUUUUGCUGUGUAAUUUUAGCUUUCAGGACUAGCAGGGGCUGUGGCUUGUAGCACAUUGGCAGAUAUCACGGCUUUAACUUUUAACAUGAAGAUGGCGCAUGCAAUUUGAUGGAAAUUGUUUUGGUUACAAACAUGAAUUGACAUUCUUACCAAAUAGCACUGAGAGAAGCAAUUUGAUUUCAUCGUUGUUGUUGCACUAUGUGAUUCUGCAAUUUCAUAGUGCAAAGCUUCAGAUUUUCCAUGGAAAUGGUUAAUGAAUGCUUGCUUCUCUUACUCCACAUGACUCCUUUUGUUGUAACUAUCUGCAAUGAAUCCUUUCUCAAAUUGUUUGGUGGGAAUUUUGACUUAAAAUCAGGUCUGUGGUGUCUCACUUACGGAUAAUGUUGUGGAGCUCAUUUUCCACGUGUUCGACUUAAAUCAGGAUGGGAAUUUAAGUGCGGAGGAAUUUGUUAGGGUUCUUCGCAGACGAGAAAAAGACAUUGCAAUGCCAGAGGGCGAUGGUCUCAUGGGAUUGCUUUCUUGUUAUCACAAUUGUGGAAACAAGUACACUAUCAAUUGCUUGCUUUCUUGAGUCUUAUCUCAGGUGCAAGGUCCCAUAUAUAAUCUUCUGUGACGACUUAUCUGUAUGGUUGGUUGCUGGAAGCGUUGGUGAUAUUUAGUGACCCCAUGACUCUUUUCAGAGUAGAGAUGAAUCUCGAACUGCUUAGCGACUCCAGUGAUCUGAUGCUGAAGAGUGUCGCGUAGCAGCCAGGUACUCAUGAAGGCAAGCAAUAGCAUCACAUUCUGGAUCCAUUUGGCAUGUCGAAAAUAGGAGAACUGAGGUUCUCACAGGCACUAGUCAAUGUUAGGUUGAUGACAGCCGGUGCGUUUUCCCUGGCUUAUAACAGGGAACCGGUACGGUUUACUGUGAAUGUACAAAAAAUAAUCGAGUAUAGCUUUAGACAUUACAUGGAUUGUUGAAAUAGAUAAGGUCCUGUGAACUGUCAUCUUUUAUAUACGCCUCUUUUCUCUUGGCCUGAUCGGAGAAUUCUUCUUCCUUUCUGGUGAUGCAAGCAUUGGUGAACUUGUGCUAAGAUUUUUGCUUUAGUAGAGGGAUUUUGUUGGCAAGGGUUUUGAAGGUACUUGUUAGGUUAAAUAAAAAAGGAACUAACACUUUCUAAGACAUUGGAAAUAGAAGAGUUAAACACGUUUUAGUAAUAUCAUUUAUUUCAUACCAGUAACUUUUAAAUCCCCAAAUAAUGUUUAAUUAGGUUUAACAGACGUUCAAGGGGCACUCUUUAAAAUUAGACAUGCUAUGGAAUGGUUUGUUGUCCACAUUUGAUCUCUCGUUUUUGCCGUGGUGAUAUCUCACUACUUUUGAUAACUUCUUUAUGGAGCCAUCAGGCAUGUGAGCUCUAACUGUUGGAGAAUCUAGGAAUCAAUACUGGGAGUGUGACUGAGUUCAGUUGUGAGUGGUUCGGGCUUGAUUCGAUGACCCUUGAGAUUGACUCUUUUAAUUUUGAGUCGAGCAAUUAGGGUCUAUCAUGUGAGCUUGCAAUGCUAAACUUGAUAUGCGAGACUAAUUGAGUUUCUUUUUGAUGCAAUCAAGUCGAAUUUGGACAUGGCAUGUAUUAACUCGACUCGUCUAUCGAACUUUUAGUCAAAGGACCUGGUCUCGAAGAGCAAGUAGACUCUAAUUCCUUAAAAAAUCCCUCACAUGGCAUUGACUUUUGACUUGCCGAUCGCGGAUGACUCCUUUGGCACAUUGGAAAGGACUGGACAAGAAGCGGUCCAAAUCAAUUACAUAUCAUGUUGCAUCCAAAGCAAAUCGAUUCGCAGGACACGUCGAACCCAUGUAGUUGGGCGGUCAAUUCCACCCUCCUAGAUCAGGGAGCUGCUAAAUAAAAAAGCUCAAUUAGCCCUAAUGAUUUCAUCCCAUCCCCCCCCCCCCCCCCCCCCCCUUUCCCCUUCACUUCGCAUAACAUUGUCCCCCACUUACAGCUAAUUUUCUACUUAAAUCAUCUUUUUUUUUUUACAUUUCUUGUGGGGUUUUUUUUUAAAUUCCUGGUGGCCCCGACAUGCCAUAUAGAAGGAUGCGUGUACAUAAUAAAUAUGUAAUUAUUAGCAAAAGAGAAUAUAAAGAAGCGGGGUUUCCUCAAUUCAAUGAUUGAAGGCAACGGUGGCCAGAAAAAUGUGGUGUAGGGAAAGCCGAAGAUGCCAGCCCAUUCCAGAAAACAAUCACUUCAAUUCGUUCCUAAAUUAUCGAUUUUCUUUCCCCCUUUUUUUGGCUCGAGUUCUUUCCCCGUGGAAAUAAGGGAAAACGAUAAUUAUCAAGAUAUUCUACCACCUAAGACAUCAUGACCCGAACUAAUCAAAUUGCGAUCAAUUAAAGGACAAAAAAGAGGGAAAAAAGAAAAGAAAAUCAAGGGAGAGUUGAUGGAGAAGGCAAAUAAAAUAAAGUGAAAAUAAUAUAAAUAAUCAUUUGAAAUUGAUUGAAAGUACAUUUUUUAAAAUUUUUUUAAAAAUUUAUUUAAUACGAUUCUUGGACUUUAACAUAAUGUACAAUGCUUGUUUAACGUAGCUCAUAAAUUUUUCGUAUAUAUUUGAUUUAAUCCUAAUUAUAUGUUGUUUCUAAAAUUAAAUUAGUGGAUGGAUAAUAGUUUAAAAAUUUGGUGAUUUAUAUUGAACAAAUUAAAAUUUUAGGGACGAUUUUAUAUAUUAAAUUAAAAUUAAGGGAUAAUAUUAAAUAAAAAAUUAUCCAUCGAGUUAAAAUUCAGAAAUUAUUUAUGUUAUUACCUUUAAAUUAAGCCGAGACAUCCUCCGCGGAAUAUGCUCGUCUAUACUUGGGACUCGGACCAUUUUCUUAUAUUUGUCACUUUUAAGUGUGCUGUAUACGCGGGGCAAAAGAAAAAGAUAAACAAUAGUGGUUCAGGUCUCCGCCUUUCCAGCGAAAUCGAGUGCCCCACCUCACGAUCCCAUGCCGGUCGUGCACUACACGCUCCAUUUUUCAAUUUCGUAGACUAUUAGUGGAAGAAUAAAAUGGGUAAGUUCCUACUAUGUUAAAUGAUGCUAAUUUUAAGUACUAAUAGAACAGUAAAGCGGGUGACGCGCGAAUCCCGUUGCCUGAGCUAGGUUCCGUGCACUAGCAGCAACUUACCACCUUCGGGCUGAUUGGGUUACAUACAUGGAUGAGUGCUACUACAAUGCCAACUGACGUAAUUAUUAAAAGGUCGUUAAUUGAGUUGAGAAUUAAAUGCUGGAUUUUGAUUACAGUGCGAAGGGAAAGUCAAUAGAUCUUCUUGUUUACAUUAUGGGUUCUCAAAUGAUUAAUGUGCAUGUAAAUCCUGACUCUUAAAAUGAUCUCGAGAAAAUACACGGCAUGGAUUGAACCUUAGUAGGUUAAUAUUGUAAAAAAAUUUAAAUUAUUAUAUUUAUAAUAAAUUUUUGCAAAAUAAUUUUUUGAGCAUUUAAAAACCCAAUGAUUAAGGGGUGUACUGAUGAUUUUAUAAAGGAUAAAUAUGUUACGGGUAUAUUAAUUUACUGUUGAAUUUGAGGUAAAAUAAUUAUAGAUAUUUUAAUUUAAGAUUUUUCAUGGUAUGAAUACGAUGCAUGAAGUCAUGAUGUUAUCACCUCCCUGAAAUGCCGACGGCCAUUCUACCAAUCAUGGAAGCUGGCGGCUACGCGCUGCGAUGGAAGGUGGGGGCCAGUACGCUAAUGAUGAGCGAUGAUCCCCUUCCCAAGUUGACCUCUCCUCCUCCUCCUC
RNAcentral lists this long non-coding RNA (33716 nucleotides) under Eucalyptus grandis. Its description in RNAcentral is "long non-coding RNA (EGRA_LNC001773)". The record is from RNAcentral. Lineage: Eukaryota; Viridiplantae; Streptophyta; Magnoliopsida; Myrtales; Myrtaceae.